Molecule: ribosomal RNA, 253 nt
Filed under: uncultured bacterium
Lineage: Bacteria
Description: partial 16S ribosomal RNA
Rfam family: Bacterial small subunit ribosomal RNA
Source: RNAcentral
UACGUAGGGUGCAAGCGUUGUCCGGAUUUAUUGGGUUUAAAGGGUACGUAGGUGGUCUACUAAGUCUUGUGUGAAAGCCCGCAGCUCAACUGUGGAAUUGCCUGAGAUACUGGUAGACUUGAGUGCGGUUGAGGUAGCUGGAAUUGGUGGUGUAGCGGUGAAAUGCAUAGAUACCACCAGGAACACCGAUUGCGAAGGCAGGUUACUAAACCGCAACUGACACUGAGGUACGAAAGCGUGGGGAGCGAACAGG